Non-coding RNA from Pelobates cultripes (western spadefoot toad), 512 nucleotides. The record is from the annotation of a GenBank genome assembly. Lineage: Eukaryota; Metazoa; Chordata; Amphibia; Anura; Pelobatidae.
GUAGACAUAGAUAUCAUGGAAUGUAUUAUCUUGGUAAUGUCAUCAUGUGUUUUUAUAAUCGGUAUGUAAUUUAAUUUCUUACAGGUCAAUACAAUUUAUUAUAAAAGCUGAUGACUUACAAUGUAAUGGGUACUAUGCAAUAAUAGUCUUAACAUGGUUUAUUAUAUUUUCCAGGUUCCAUCUGCUACCUCAUAACUUUUUCAUUUUUAUUAUAUUUAUUAUAUUUUAGGUUCUACCAACGGACAGUCAGUAAACCAGACAUCUUUAACUCAAUCUGUCUUGGUGGGAGAGCCGGUCUAUUUGGAAUGUACCUACAAAAUAUCGGGUACACCUUAUACUUUCUGGUAUUAUCAAUCUUCUGCAAAAGCCCUAUCAAUGAUAGUCAAUGACUUAACACAAAAAGACUACAAGGGAUUUUCAGCUACCCAUGAUAGGAGCAAAUUUACCUUCCACUUGAGAAAGGAUCAUGUUGCAAUUGAUGACUCUGGGCUGUAUUUCUGUGCAGUUAGUGA